AGAAUCAACGCUGGCGGCGUGCCUAACACAUGCAAGUCGCACGAGAAAGGGUAGCAAUACCUGAGUACAGUGGCGCACGGGUGAGUAACACGUGAAUAAUCUACCUCCGAGUGGGGAAUAACUGAGAGAAAUCUUAGCUAAUACCGCAUAACACUUACGAGUCAAAGCAGCAAUGCGCUUGGAGAGGAGUUCGCGGCCGAUUAGUUAGUUGGCGGGUAAUGGCCCACCAAGACGAUGAUCGGUA
Molecule: ribosomal RNA, 244 nt
Filed under: uncultured bacterium
Lineage: Bacteria
Description: partial small subunit ribosomal RNA
Rfam family: Bacterial small subunit ribosomal RNA
Source: RNAcentral